RNAcentral lists this ribosomal RNA (254 nucleotides) under uncultured bacterium. RNAcentral describes it as "partial 16S ribosomal RNA". It matches the Rfam family "Bacterial small subunit ribosomal RNA", at positions 524 to 776 of the family's 1533-position model. The record is from RNAcentral.
UACAGAGGGUGCAAGCGUUGUCCGGAAUCACUGGGCGUAAAGGGCGCGUAGGUGGUGGCUUAAGCGUGCGGUGAAAGCUCGGGGCUCAACUCCGAGUCGGCCGUGCGAACUGGGCUCACUGGAGCAUAGUAGAGGCAGGUGGAAUUCCGGGUGUAGCGGUGGAAUGCGUAGAGAUCCGGAAGAACACCGGUGGCGAAGGCGGCUCACUGGACCGGUACUGACGCUGAUGCGCGAAAGCGUGGGGAGCAAACGGG